UACACAUGCAGUCGACGGCAGCACAGGAGAGCUUGCUCUCUGGGUGGCGAGUGGCGGACGGGUGAGGAAUACAUCGGAAUCUACUCUGUCGUGGGGGAUAACGUAGGGAAACUUACGCUAAUACCGCAUACGACCUACGGGUGAAAGCAGGGGACCUUCGGGCCUUGCGCGAUUGAAUGAGCCGAUGUCGGAUUAGCUAGUUGGCGGGGUAAAGGCCCACCAAGGCGACGAUCCGUAGCUGGUCUGAGAGGAUGAUCAGCCACACUGGAACUGAGACACGGUCCAGACUCCUACGGGAGGCAGCAGUGGGGAAUAUUGGACAAUGGGCGCAAGCCUGAUCCAGCCAUACCGCGUGGGUGAAGAAGGCCUUCGGGUUGUAAAGCCCUUUUGUUGGGAAAGAAAUCCAGCUGGCUAAUACCCGGUUGGGAUGACGGUACCCAAAGAAUAAGCACCGGCUAACUUCGUGCCAGCAGCCGCGGUAAUACGAAGGGUGCAAGCGUUACUCGGAAUUACUGGGCGUAAAGCGUGCGUAGGUGGUCGUUUAAGUCCGUUGUGAAAGCCCUGGGCUCAACCUGGGAACUGCAG
Molecule: ribosomal RNA, 585 nt
Filed under: Stenotrophomonas sp. Vr3
Lineage: Bacteria; Pseudomonadati; Pseudomonadota; Gammaproteobacteria; Lysobacterales; Lysobacteraceae
Description: bacterial SSU rRNA
Rfam family: Bacterial small subunit ribosomal RNA
Source: RNAcentral